GCGCACGCAGCGCCCACUCGCCUUCUUAUGCAGCUGUGUGGGGCUGCCCGGGAGGCUGCGGGCAGAAGCCACCUCCACAUGCACCUGCUGUACGGAACCCCGUGGUGACAAUCGUUAUUACUACUAUUAUGCUUAAUGACAAUGACCACUAUUAUUUGUUUAGUCUUCUCGAUUACACGCUGCUUAACUCUUAUCUAGGGUCUGGGCUGGCAUUUCUUAAUGCUGCGCUUUUGCGCGGCAGAGUCCGUUGCUAGUUUUGCAGUAUCCUGGAAAAGCGCACUUUGUUUUCCUUCUGUUUCUUUAAUCCAACCGAUUUUGUCUUUCUCUUCUUUAAAGUUCCUGGUUGAAGAGGAGCUGUGUAGGAAUAAGGGGACUAGGGGUCCAGGUUGCUUUAGAAACCCAUUUCUCAUUGUCAUAGUCAUUUGUUGUGAUUAUCGUAUUGUAGCUUUUCUCCUCUGUCAUGGUGUUGAUGAACCUGUACGUACAGUGUACAUAUGCACAGUGAUCGUUUGUGUUUGCACGUUUGUGUAUGUUUCUCUGGAGAUUUGAGGAAGAAAGCGAUUUUAUUGGGUAGACGUGUAAAUCCCAACUCGGACAGUAAAAUAUAUGGGCAUUCCUUCUUUUUUUUUUAAUAUAAGUGCAGGUGCAGGAACUUUAGUAACAGAUGUUGGAAGAUGAGAGACUUCUGUAUAAAUAUAGUUCUAGUUUUGAGAACCUUUCAAAAUGUAUGUCCUAACCAAGACCUCCAUUUUCUGCUUAGAAGCAAGUAUAUAUUUUUAAAUAACAAUGAAAGAAAUGAAAAAGUAAAAGUCAUGCCUCUAUUUCGUCAGACUCUGGGAAAUACGCAACUUGUUUUCCUUUAGGGUGUUAAAUGUAGGUUCCCCACCCACCCCCGCCUCCACCUGGUUUGAUUACUGUGUCCUAAUUAGAUUGCUGCCCCAAAUCAUGGAUUUAUCUCAGUUUUGCUUGUGUCUGCUUCAGACAGACAAAAAAGCUGAACACAAAUGGCAAAUCCAACUGUUAGGUUUUUGUGUCAAGUAAUAUAUUUUGUAUCUGAUGUUGCAGCAUUCUUAGGAAAUUGUGUGUGUGAACACAAUGCCUAUAUUUUUAGUUCAUUUAAUAUAUUUGUACAUAUUUUGUAUGUGUGAAAAAUGUUUAAAUUCUUAAGCAUAAAAAUGUGUAAGUGCCAAUAUGUAAAUUGGGCCAGGUUCCUAUGCUCUUAAAAGACUUUUGCACCAUGAGAACUACUGGGAUUCAGUUUUACUGACCGAUGCAUGGCCUUGAAAAUUUGGGCUUAGUAGUGCAAAGUCAAAAUCUAGGCAAUGUGCUUAUCAAUAUAUAUUUUUGAAAUGCUUUGUCAUACAUGGAAUCAGGCAUCAGACUUUAUUCCGUGAAGAUUUCUUCUAGCAAGUACCAAGCCAGAGCCUAAUAUUUUGCUUUCUACUGCUAGUUCUACUACUUAGCAGCAAACAUUUAAGUAAAUGAGAUUAUUAUUAUGAAAAGAAAAUCCAAGGCUUGGUGUGUUUUAUAUGUAUAUAUCAGUUAUUCUAACACAUCUUACAUGCUUCAUCUAUAGAAAUGAGGUACAAAUGGAGGAGGGAUUUAGAAAGCACCAAUGUAAUUCGACUUGGAUUAUUUUAUUGCAUAUUAUAUUUUGAAAAUUAUUAUUAAUACCUCGAUUUUCUUUCUUUUUAAAAUAUGUCUCUUUGAAAUAAGGUAGCUCCCUCUUUGACUGUAAGGGUCUAUUUUAUCAAUUGUACAGUACAGUCAGCCUACUUAUUUCUCCCAUCAGCUUUGCAGUUUGGCACAACGAUGUGAAGCUUGUCAAAGAGAACCAAAUCGCUUUUGCUCUAUUUGCAGAUUGCAUUAGGCCAGGGUAACGGUCAGAGUUUUUCUAAACAACUGGGUAAGUGUGGAUUUAAUUCAACAUUUUACCUUAUUGAAAUAACUAGAGUAAUUGUGCUUUCGUGCUCAUAUUAGUUUUUAAAAGUUCCUUCAAAAAAUUAAUAGUUAUUUUUGAGUGCACUUUGGGUAAACUGAUGAGUUUCCAGGGUAAGACCAGGGCACUAAAAUGCUUUUGCGGAACAGGUAUUUUCUUGGUCUGAAUUAACCAGACUGCCUGUUUAUAUUAAUUAUUUACUGAGAAAUGUCCUUAGACUUCACCAGUCACAAAGGCUUAAAUGUAAACAUUUAUUUCGUGUUUUUUUUUUUUUUUGUUGUUGUUGUUGUUAUCACCUACGGAACAGUUUUAUGCUUUCUUAAAUGCUAAUAAAGAUAUUUUGAAGAAGCUGCUUUUUACCCUCCAUAUCUCACUGUAAUGGCAAAACGUCACUCCUGUUCUUAAAGACUUUUUGGCUAGUCAUUUCUUUUUAUCUUUCAAGAUGAUAGUUACUUCUUCUCCUUUGUGUGAACUAGAGGUCCUGGGAUUACUUUCAAAGAGAACGAAUAAUAAGUAAAUGUCACGCAACCUACAUCACAGAAUUAAAGGAAAUAUUCUCAAACAUAAUGAAAGGACAACAUUUAUUUGUUUUAAAAAGUGUAUUAAUUUUGCAGAAGUUGUGUGAUAGAUAUAUUUACAAAAU
This is a long non-coding RNA of Trichechus manatus latirostris (Florida manatee), 2582 nucleotides long. RefSeq lists it as uncharacterized. The record is from RefSeq and is a predicted model, not a curated record. Lineage: Eukaryota; Metazoa; Chordata; Mammalia; Sirenia; Trichechidae. The transcript has 2 exons.